CGCGUUCCUCCUUUCCUCGCGCGCGCGGUCGGCGUGAUUCGGCUUGGCGGUUUUCGCGAGCGCGGGGCUCGGCCAGCGCGGAAGACGCGGCGAUCUCGACGGCGCUCACGAUGCGGAUUUGACCCGGUUCUCGAGUAGAAGCGAAGGAGAAAGGGAAAGAGGCAUCGACAGGAAUCCACGCCGAAAAAUGUUGGUUAAAUAAUCUGACGCACGAGGGAAUUGCCAGGUGACACAGCAAACUCUCGACGAUUACUAUGGGGGCAUUUUUGGAUACACCGAAGACCGACAAGUACAACGAACAUGGUUCUGGUAACGGAUUGCGGUACGGGGUGGCUAGCAUGCAAGGAUGGAGGAUGGAGAUGGAGGAUGCUCAUAGAGCGAUAACAGGGUUGGAAGGUGGACUGUCGGAUUGGAGUUACUUCGCUGUCUUCGAUGGUCACGCCGGAGCGAGAGUGUCGGCACAUAGCGCCGAACACCUGCUCGAGUCUAUUAUGCAGACUAAAGAGUUUAAGGCAGAGGAUGUGAUAAAUGGAAUCCAUUACGGGUUUUUAAGGCUGGAUGAUGAGAUGAGAGACCUGCCCGAAAUGAGCGCUGGCACGGACAAGUCCGGUUCUACCGCGGUUUGUGCGUUCAUAUCUCCUAAACAGAUUUACAUUGCGAACUGCGGCGACUCCCGGGCUGUCCUGUGUCGUUCCGGAAACCCGAUCUUUUCGACCAGAGAUCAUAAACCGAUCUUGCCUGCUGAAAAGGAAAGGAUUCAAAAUGCAGGGGGUAGUGUGAUGAUUCAACGGGUGAACGGGUCGUUGGCUGUUUCACGAGCGCUAGGAGAUUAUGAGUACAAAAACGUCGAAGGCCGAGGGCCCUGCGAACAACUGGUCUCUCCAGAACCGGAAAUAUUCUUACGGGACAGAGAUGACGAACACGAUGAGUUCUUAGUUUUGGCAUGCGACGGGAUUUGGGACGUUAUGACCAACGAAGAUCUCUGUCAUUUUAUACAUUCGAGGCUGUUGCUGACCGACGACUUAGAAGUGGUUACCAACCAAGUUAUAGAUACUUGUUUAUAUAAGGGAAGCAGAGAUAAUAUGAGCAUCGUAUUGGUUACAUUUCCCGGAGCUCCAAAACCGAGUCCAGAGGCCCAGAAGAAGGAAGCCGAAUUAGAAAUGGCAAUCGAGAGGAGGAUUAAAGAAAUUGUAGCGCAGCAAGAGAACAAAGACAGCUUCGACUUUCUGCAACUGCUUCAGCUUCUUAUGGAUCAGGAGUUGCCCAAUUUGCCACCUGGAGGUGGUCUUUCAGCUAAGCAACCAUUCAUCGAGAAGGUGUUUCGGGACGUUUGUCCCAGCGCAGCGGACAGCAUCAGUGAAGCUGCACUGAGGAAAGCGGCGAUCGUCGCAUCCGUUAUCGAUGCGCUUAGGUUGCAUUCUAAUCGAAUGCACGGCGCGCAAGCUUGAUCGAUCGUUGAAAGAGAGAGAGAGAGAGAGAGAGAGAGAGAGAGAGAGAGAGAGAGAACCCCGGAACGUCGAGUUUACUCAACAAGAACUCGAUGUCCAGUUAAUGCGUGUGUACGAAUACGAACUCGAGUUGGAUUCGCACCAGAGAACGACGGCUGGAGAAAGCCUGAGAAGAAAAAGAUAAAGUGGUAAGCUCUUCCCUCAUUCUCUUGCGAGAGGCACCGGAGUUCCAUCUCGCAUCCACGAGCUCGAUUCGGCAAGAUCAUCCCUUAUGUCUUUGGUCAAUGCUGUAACAAGGUAACUGGACCGUAAUUAAAUGAUAAGCACGACUAGUGGACCUACUGUAAAGGAGGUAUAAGUGAUAUCCGAUAUACCGGUUUACCGGUCAGAGAAGGCGACCGAUUUUAAUAGUGUCAGGCACAGUUCCAAGGUAUUGCUGGUCGUGUAUAGACACUCGUAUUUAUGUAUACGUACUUAUGUUUACAUGCGUAUAAAUGUGUAUAUUUACAUGGCCGUUCCUCGGCUUACCUUGCUCGCCGAGAAUUUCGUUACCUUCGGUUAUGUAAUGGAGUGGUCGCCUCCUGUACGCGCAGGCACGGACGCAUGUGUACAUGGCAAUGGAACCUUAAAUUGCUCGAGCCAAUGCACGGUUCCAAGUGCAAGCAAGAAAUUGUAAAGUGAUCCUCGAACUAAAGUGGACCUCGACGUUGGCCGCCAGAACGGAUUUCGAUAUUGACGGAACAGGUGUACUAAAUACAUCCGAGAUCGAAGCUAUGCCGCAAUGCCGUCUAGGUCAUACGUUAUUUCGUGGCACUGAACCUUGAGAAAUAAAUUAUUUCAAUUAGACAAUGUUAUCCGUACGUGUUGCGAAAACUACCAUAUCGUGCCCUUAUCGGAUAGUAACAUCUAAUUUUACGGUGUCGAGCUCUCUGUGUUUGUCCCUCGUCUACUUGGCGUUAUGUACUGAAACAAAAAAAUCAGGUCUAAUCGGGAAGAUAAUGCGUUCCCUUACAGUCGGAAUACAUUUUAUUGCAAUACGUAAUAAUUUGUAAUUAAAAAAAAAAGUGAGCGCAUCCUAGAUUUGAGAUAUCACAUUGAAAACUUUGUCCGAUAAAACAUAGCCGGUUUCUAUUUUGCGGCUGCUAAAACGUCAUCUUGCCAAAUUUGAUUUGAAAUCCCCAUGGAAGAUAAUGCGUGCGUUCACGUGCAGUAUAAAAAAAUACGAGCGGUAGACUGCUUCUAAGGUAAUAUCGCGUUAUGUACAAUUUUGUGCCGAUUCGCGGAUAAAAAGGAACGACGGUUGUCAAGCGAUCACUCGUUAGUUCGCUUGGAUUACUUUACCAAUUUACCGUAGAUCAUUUGUCCGUACUCGAAAUUAAUUUUUACCUCGUCCUCGAAGGUGUGACAUUUUUCGUUUAGAUGUCGACAUAACAACGCUAUAAUUCCUUCGUUUACCGUUCUUUGUACAGUGUGUCCAGCAUUAGAAACGUAGAAUCUCCUCGAUGCGGAUACAUUUCUCCUUCACUCAUUUAUGAAAUAAAUAUCUAAUCUAGCAAACGAACAACCCUAUGACGUUGAUCGCCCUAAACGGUGUCUAAAUUCUUGUCUCGGGUACUUGUAAAAACUUAACUCGGCACAGUUUAUGCAACCGUACAAAAAUAACUUGAACUUGAUCUAAGUCGACGUAUGUGAACGCCUUUUCAAUGUACACACUAAUUUAUCGGUAGAUACAUCCUUCGCACGUGCGGAGGCUCGUUGCGCAAUCGUGAGUACCUCAUUAUAUACAAUGUUGGUCGAACACUGAAUUAAUAUCCUAAAUUACAACGCAAUGGGUCAUGCGAAGACACAGAGAAAGCUUAACCAGUUUUCUUACAAAUCCUUUAAAAAUUCGACAUUUUUUAUAAAUAUGCGAUCUGAAACGUCAAUAACGUGUUCUACGGAGGCGUCCCCUUGCACGGGAGCUAUUUAACAAGAGCACAGAGAGUUUACGGGUAAAUUCUCCUAUCGUCGAUUAUAUUGUCAAGUAUCAAAUCUAUAAAUUAUCCGACUGCCAGUACAAAAUACAUUAAAGCUCGGUGUACGUCGUGAGACACCGGAAUCACAUAAACGCUCGUUAUGUUUCUAAGAGAUUGAGUUAGUGUGCCAAAGACUUAGCGAUAAGAGAAACAAACGAAUUAACUCGAAUAGUCUUUAAGUAAUGAAUCUAUUGCAGCGUGACCGAUUGCACGUUGUUUCUUGACAUAAGAAAAGUGAGUUCUUUCUAAAGAAUUAGACCUCAGGGUGAAAAUCGACAAUGUAUUGCCGAAUAAAAAGAACGAAUGUAUCCUUAGAA
RNAcentral lists this unclassified non-coding RNA (3780 nucleotides) under Orussus abietinus. Its description in RNAcentral is "protein phosphatase 1B, transcript variant X3". The record is from RNAcentral. Lineage: Eukaryota; Metazoa; Arthropoda; Insecta; Hymenoptera; Orussidae.